UGCCGUAUAUAUCCCGAUAAAUUUAGGUUCUUCUACAUCUUUAAACUAGAAAGUCGUCAUAAUAACCAUUGAAAACUGACAAUUUUAAAAUGAUUUGAUUAUAAAAUAAAUUAAGUCGAAAAAGUAUAAAAUUUUAUCCCUAAAAAUUUUAAAGACGCUAAAUCAGUUUUAACGGUGUGGAUCGUUGAUUUGAACACCCUAAAAUAAAAAAUGAGACUAUAUUACCGGAGUGCCGGUAU
RNAcentral lists this long non-coding RNA (239 nucleotides) under Ananas comosus (pineapple). Its description in RNAcentral is "long non-coding RNA (ACOM_LNC015467)". The record is from RNAcentral. Lineage: Eukaryota; Viridiplantae; Streptophyta; Magnoliopsida; Poales; Bromeliaceae.